GUGUGUGGUGGGCAAUGUGGUUGCAACAUCUAUCACACUAUUGGUCACCAUUCAGCUGAUCUGGCUGGCUAGGUAAAGUUCCCUUCCUCCCUUACCACCCCAUCUGUGUACUUCUUGCUGCAUGCCCAGAAGAGGAGAGCCUUCCUGGAUAGUACAGGUCUGUUAUUCUCUUUAAGUGAAUAUGAGCAAAGCAAUCAGAAAAAGAAGCUCUCAAAAAAAAAAAAACUCUCAGAAAAAUGGGCUUGAGCAAAUGACAUACUUGGAAAGAUGACAUGCUUGUUAAGCUAUGUAAUAUUU
RNAcentral lists this small RNA (297 nucleotides) under Dipodomys ordii (Ord's kangaroo rat). RNAcentral's name for it is "7SK RNA (ENSDORG00000022673.2)". The stretch from base 1 to 188 matches the Rfam family "7SK RNA". From Rfam's summary of the family: 7SK was discovered as an abundant small nuclear RNA in the mid-70s but a possible function has only recently been suggested. The record is from RNAcentral. Lineage: Eukaryota; Metazoa; Chordata; Mammalia; Rodentia; Heteromyidae.